GUAAGACAGAUAUAGUGUCACAAUGAAAUAUGGCAAUGAGGCGUUUAUACAAGCCUUCAACUAAAAGGGAAUAUUGUGAUAACAGAUCUGUUGCUAAGAAUGGGGAAUUAAUUAAAAAUUAGGAAAUGCAUUGCAUUUCUACGUUUCAUUUUCGGAACAAUGGCGCAGCGGUAGAGUUGCUGCCUCGCAGAUUUAGAGGCCCGUGUUCGAUCCUGACCAAAGAUCCUGAUCCUGACUACGGGUGCUGUCUGUACGGAGUUUGAACGUUCUCCCUGCGAUUUGCUGGGUUUUCUCCGGUUGCUCCGGUUUUCUCAAACACUCCAAAGAUGUACAAGUUUGUCAUUCCCUCCGGGCAUCAAAAAUAGAAUCGUGGAUCUUUACUGGUGACUGAAAAAAAGAAGUGAGAUGUUUCCCCUGGAUUUGUUUACAAACUGCAGGUGAUCAUUCUGAUAUCCUUGCCUAGUCCUCCUUUUUAACUUUGAACAUACAAAAUAUUGCCAUUUGGAAGGAGCUCCAGAAAAUCCUGCACCCACUCAAGCCACCAAACAGAUCUAAGCUACAUUUUAAUAUAAAAUUGCAUACAUGUACCUACAAGUAACAAACACAAUGUGUAGAUCACCUUUGAAAAGUACAUAGUUACAAUACCACUUGUUUUAGUGACUGUGAAAUGAAAAAAAAAAAGUAACUAGAUCCUGGAAACCAAUAACUAUUGGCGUAAAAGACGAAACCAAAGACUAUUGGCGCUAUGGCGACUUAAGACAUGCGCCAUUUAGCUCCGCUCCGCUAAAAUCAGGAAAACGGACAAAAAUUCGCAAAACGGACAGAAGAAAAUCGCUUACCGGCACACGUUUGUUGUCGCGUAAGUGACGUCAUCAGAAAUUGACUCCGGUAUUUUAAAUGACUGGUAGACGUUACCCCAGAAGACUUCCUAUAGUUCCUAAAGGACCUAAAGUACCACGGAAGAAAUGCCUAGUGGAAAGUCAGGAAGCCUUUGAAGAAGAAGCCUCGACUUCGAGUAUGGAGCACCCGUAUGAAAAAGUAGCAAGACAACCUUUGGUGGAAGAUAUCAAAGCUUUAUUGGGUGAGCAACUUGCAGUUGUAAAAUUGGACAUUGCUGCUGGGAGA
Leucoraja erinaceus (little skate) is the source of this 1125-nucleotide long non-coding RNA. RefSeq lists it as uncharacterized. Lineage: Eukaryota; Metazoa; Chordata; Chondrichthyes; Rajiformes; Rajidae. The record is from RefSeq and is a predicted model, not a curated record. The transcript has 3 exons.